This 352-nucleotide ribosomal RNA is filed under the name uncultured bacterium. RNAcentral's name for it is "partial 16S ribosomal RNA". It matches the Rfam family "Bacterial small subunit ribosomal RNA", at positions 338 to 687 of the family's 1533-position model. The record is from RNAcentral.
UCUACGGGUGGCAGCAGUGAGGAAUAUUGGUCAAUGGGCGAGAGCCUGAACCAGCCAAGUCGCGUGAAGGAUGACGGCCCUACGGGUUGUAAACUUCUUUUGUCAGGUCGCAAUUGGGUCCACGCGUGGGCUUCGCGAGAGUACCUGACGAAAAAGCAUCGGCUAACUCCGUGCCAGCAGCCGCGGUAGUACGGGGGAUGCGAGCGGUAUCUGGAUUUAUUGGGUUUUAAGGGUGCGUAGGCGGAAUAUCUAGUCAGCGGUAAAAAUGCGGGGCUCAACCCCGUCGGGCCGUUGAAACUGAUGUUCGUGAGUGGGCGAGAGGUAUGCGGAAUGCGAGGUGUAGCGGUGAAAU